AGAGUUUGAUCCUGGCUCAGAACGAACGCUGGCGGCGUGGAUAAGACAUGCAAGUCGGACGAGAUUUUUCGUUGUAGCAAUACGAUGGAAAAUUUAGUGGCGAACGGGUGCUUAACACGUGGGCAACCUGCCAGGAAGUGGGGGACAGCUCGCCGAAAGGCGGAUUAAUACCGCAUGUGAUUAGAGAGGACAUCCUUUCGAAAUUAAAGUCGGGGCAACCUGACGCUUCUUGUGGGGCCCGCGGCCUAUCAGCUAGUUGGUGAGGUAACGGCUCACCAAGGCUUUGACGGGUAGCUGGUCUGAGAGGACGACCAGCCACACUGGGACUGAGACACGGCCCAGACACCUACGGGUGGCAGCAGUCGAGAAUUUUUGACAAUGGGGGAAACCCUGAUCGAGCGACGCCGCGUGGAGGAUGAAGGUCUUCGGAUUGUAAACUCCUGUCAUUGGGGAACAAUGCACAGAUAUUAACUGUAUUUGUGUUGAUAGUACCCGAAGAGGAAGAGACGGCUAACUCUGUGCCAGCAGCCGCGGUAAUACAGAGGUCUCAAGCGUUGUUCGGAUUCAUUGGGCGUAAAGGGUGCGUAGGCGGCGCGGUAAGUCGGGUGUGAAAUCUCGGAGCUUAACUUCGAAACUGCAUUCGAUACUGCCGUGCUUGAGGACUGGAGAGGAGACUGGAAUUUACGGUGUAGCGGUGAAAUGCGUAGAUAUCGUAAGGAAGACCAGUGGCGAAGGCGGGUCUCUGGACAGUUCCUGACGCUGAGGCACGAAGGUCAGGGGAGCAAACGGGAUUAGAUACCCUAGUAGUCC
Molecule: ribosomal RNA, 810 nt
Filed under: uncultured bacterium
Lineage: Bacteria
Description: bacterial SSU rRNA
Rfam family: Bacterial small subunit ribosomal RNA
Source: RNAcentral